This 253-nucleotide ribosomal RNA is filed under the name uncultured bacterium. RNAcentral describes it as "partial 16S ribosomal RNA". It matches the Rfam family "Bacterial small subunit ribosomal RNA", at positions 524 to 776 of the family's 1533-position model. The record is from RNAcentral.
CACGUAGGGCGCGAGCGUUGUCCGGAAUUAUUGGGCGUAAAGAGCGCGUAGGCGGCCUUUUGCGUCCGCUGUGAAAGCCCGGGGCUUAACCCCGGGUCGGCAGUGGAUACGGGCAGGCUAGAGGUAGGUAGGGGAGAAUGGAAUUCCCGGUGUAGCGGUGAAAUGCGCAGAUAUCGGGAGGAACACCGGUGGCGAAGGCGGUUCUCUGGGCCUUACCUGACGCUGAGGAGCGAAAGCGUGGGGAGCGAACAGG